AUGGGUGCUCUUCGACGUCAACAAUGGCUCAAUGCCGCAUUUGUGCUCGCCGUGCUGCUCCUCGCCCAGGCGGAGGCGCGCGGGGUGACGAGCGCGUACCGGCGGAGGCUGGAGGCGGCCGAGGACAUGCCGCUGGACGCCGACGUCUUCGCCGUGCCGCCCGGGCACAACGCGCCCCAGCAGGUGCACGUCACGCUGGGCGACCAGGCCGGCACGGCCAUGACUGUGUCGUGGGUGACGGUCGACGAGGUCGGCAACAGCACCGUCAUGUACGGCCGCGCCAUGGGCAGGCUCGACAUGGCGGCCGAGGGCACGCACACGCGCUACAAGUACCACAACUACACCUCCGGGUUCAUCCACCACUGCACGCUCACCAACCUUGAGCAUGGCACCAAGUAUUACUACGCCAUGGGCUUCGGCCACACGGUGCGGACCUUCUGGUUCACUACCCCUCCCAAGCCCGGCCCGGACGUACCCUUCCGGCUGGGCCUCAUCGGCGACCUGGGCCAGACGUCCGACUCCAACAGCACACUGACCCACUACGAGGCCACCGGUGGUGACGCCGUGCUCUUCAUGGGCGAUCUCUCCUACGCCGACAAGCACCCCCUCCACGACAACAAUCGUUGGGACACGUGGGGCCGCUUCUCCGAGCGCAGCGUCGCCUACCAGCCAUGGAUCUGGGUCACCGGCAACCACGAGGUCGACUACGCACCGGAGCUUGGAGAGACGGCGCCGUUCAAACCCUUCAGCCAUCGGUACCCGACGCCGCACCGGUUGAGCGGCUCGCCGGAGCCCUACUGGUACUCGGUGAAGCUCGCGUCCGCGCACAUCAUCGUACUGUCCUCCUACUCCGCGUUCGGCAAGUACACGCCGCAGUACAAGUGGCUGGAGGCGGAGCUGAAGCGCGUGAACCGGAGCGAGACGCCGUGGCUGAUCGUGGCGUCGCACUCGCCGUGGUACAACAGCUACAACUUCCACUACAUGGAGGGCGAGCCGAUGCGCGUGCAGUUCGAGCAGUGGAUCGUAGAAGCUAGGGUUGACUUCGUCUUCGCCGGGCACGUGCAUGCAUAUGAGCGUAGCCACCGGGUGUCCAACAUCAAGUACAACAUCACAGACGGGAGGUGCAAGCCGGUGCGGGACCGCCGUGCGCCCGUGUACAUGACCAUCGGCGACGGUGGCAACAUCGAGGGGCUUGCCGACAGCAUGACGGAGCCGCAACCGAGCUACUCGGCGUUCCGGGAGGCUAGCUUUGGGCAUGCCUUGCUGGACAUCAAGAACCGCACGCAUGCUUACUACGCCUGGUACCGCAACGCCGACGGCGUCAAGGUCCCCGCCGACACCAUGUGGUUCACCAACCGCUACUACAUGCCCAACCACGACGACUCUCGUUGA
Molecule: ribosomal RNA, 1392 nt
Filed under: Triticum aestivum (bread wheat)
Lineage: Eukaryota; Viridiplantae; Streptophyta; Magnoliopsida; Poales; Poaceae
Description: partial small subunit ribosomal RNA
Source: RNAcentral